CUUUCACCUUAUUCCCUUCCAGCGGUCACUGCAUGUGUAAAGCUUGCAUUUCAGCAUGAUUUCUGGACAUUAUUUGUGCAUAUUAUAAUUGCACCCGCAUUUAUUCAGGAAGAUAAGUUUCAGAGUGUGGGGUCCUCUCAUUUGGCUUGUGGGAUCUCAUGGGCAGUGUGCUGGCUCUGUCAACCCGCCCCGGGCGUCAAAACUCCCCUUUUCCACAAGAUAGACCCUUAUCACGAUGGGAUAGGAGAGAUGGAAGGCUGCCUAACCCAGGAAGCUUUGAUGGUCUGCACCGCAAUUGUAAAGAUGUAUUUCCACAUCAGAUUGAAGGUGUAAAACUUGUGAUAAAUAAGACCCUCAGCAGUUUUUUCAAGGUCAGUCACACAUUCCACCUCAGUGCUGUUGCUCCAUCCAGUUAUCGCUUUCAUGCUGAGCAUCUACAAUCAGACACUGACAGCAAAGAAACGGACUCACCUAUGCUUAUUGGGGAAAUGGACUCCUCUGGCAGCUUAAAUGCACACUCUUUGUUCCAUCUCAGUGAGAAAAUAAGAGCUAAAGCCGUAUUUCAGACUCAACAGGCACAGUUUGUCACGUGGCAGUUUGAGACCGAAUACAGAGGUAGUGACUUUACAGCUGCGGUUACUAUGGCCAACCCUGACAUUCUGAGGGAAUCAGUUAUCAUGGUUGCACACUUUCUUCAAAGUGUUUCCCCACAGCUGGUACUGGGGGGUGAGCUCGUGUACCAUCGAGGUAGAGCAGAAGAAGGUGGCAUACUCACCCUGGCGGGCCAGUACUCAGGGGCAAACUGGAUUGCAACACUGAAUGCAGGUAAAGGAGGUGCACAUGCCAGCUACUACCACAGGGCCAACAAACAGAUUCAGGUGGGAGUGGAGUUUGAGGCGAGUACUAGGACGCAAGAGACAACCUUUUCCUUUGGUUACCAGAUGGAACUUCCUGAAGCUAAAAUGGUUUUCAGAGGAAUGUUGGACAGCCGCUGUAUUAUUGGUGGGGUUCUGGAGAAGCGGCUUUACCCUCUUCCUGCCACAUUGAUCAUGGGUGCCUUUGUCAACCACAGAGCGGACAAGCUGCAAGUCGGUCUUGGGGUCAAUGUUGGUUAAAUACAAGGACAAAAAAUUACUAGAAGAACUUCUUAAGACUUUGGGGACUUCAGAAAACCACCUUCUCUUGUCCAAAGGCACUGGUCCAGCACAGACCCUGGACAGAACAGACAUUUUGUUUAAAGCUCUGUUCGCCAUAAUGAAAAAUAAUGCAGUCCUUUGCAAGCACUGAUGAUGGCUGAAAGUCCUAGAACACCAAGACCUCUAUGGUGGUCCCAUCCUUUAUCAAGGGUUUUGCUAUUUUUGGUCUUAUGUGACCCCUAAGUAACCUGAGGUAAACUACUGAGGUAUAUUCAUUGAUUAUCUUAUUUAUAAGAACAACGUAUAAGACCAAGAUCUAACUUAUAAGAACAAGAUGGCAACCUCUGUAACAGUUAUUGUAACUCUAUAACACUCCGGAUACCCAACAAAUGAAUUUACAAUGUUU
Molecule: non-coding RNA, 1542 nt
Organism: Danio rerio (zebrafish)
Lineage: Eukaryota; Metazoa; Chordata; Actinopteri; Cypriniformes; Danionidae
Source: Ensembl